This 1278-nucleotide ribosomal RNA is filed under the name uncultured bacterium. RNAcentral's name for it is "bacterial SSU rRNA". It matches the Rfam family "Bacterial small subunit ribosomal RNA", at positions 94 to 1399 of the family's 1533-position model. The record is from RNAcentral.
AGUGGCGGACGGGUGAGUAACGCGUGGGUAACCUGCCUUACACAGGGGGAUAACAGUUAGAAAUGACUGCUAAUACCGCAUAAAACAGCAGCACCGCAUGGUGCAACUGUCAAAGAUUUAUCGGUGUAAGAUGGACCCGCGUCUGAUUAGCCAGUUGGUGGGGUAACGGCCUACCAAAGCGACGAUCAGUAGCCGACCUGAGAGGGUGACCGGCACAUUGGGACUGAGACACGGCCCAAACUCCUACGGGAGGCAGCAGUGGGGAAUAUUGGACAAUGGGCGAAAGCCUGAUCCAGCGACGCCGCGUGAAGGAUGAAGUAUUUCGGUAUGUAAACUUCUAUCAGCAGGGAAGAAAAUGACGGUACCUGACUAAGAAGCCCCGGCUAACUACGAGCCAGCAGCCGCGGUAAAACGUAGGUCACAAGCGUUGUCCGGAAUUACUGGGUGUAAAGGGAGCGCAGGCGGGAAGACAAGUUGGAAGUGAAAUCCAUGGGCUCAACCCAUGAACUGCUUUCAAAACUGUUUUUCUUGAGUAGUGCAGAGGUAGGCGGAAUUCCCGGUGUAGCGGUGGAAUGCGUAGAUAUCGGGAGGAACACCAGUGGCGAAGGCGGCCUACUGGGCACCAACUGACGCUGAGGCUCGAAAGUGUGGGUAGCAAACAGGAUUAGAUACCCUGGUAGUCCACACUGUAAACGAUGAUUACUAGGUGUUGGAGGAUUGACCCCUUCAGUGCCGCAGUUAACACAAUAAGUAAUCCACCUGGGGAGUACGACCGCAAGGUUGAAACUCAAAGGAAUUGACGGGGGCCCGCACAAGCAGUGGAGUAUGUGGUUUAAUUCGACGCAACGCGAAGAACCUUACCAAGUCUUGACAUCCUGCGACGGUUCUGGAAACAGUACUUUCCUUCGGGACGCAGAGACAGGUGGCGCAUGGUUGUCGUCAGCUCGUGUCGUGAGAUGUUGGGUUAAGUCCCGCAACGAGCGCAACCCUUAUGGUCAGUUACUACGCAAGAGGACUCUGGCCAGACUGCCGUUGACAAAACGGAGGAAGGUGGGGAUGACGUCAAAUCAUCAUGCCCUUUAUGACUUGGGCUACACACGUACUACAAUGGCGUUAAACAAAGAGAAGCAAGACCGCGAGGUGGAGCAAAACUCAGAAACAACGUCCCAGUUCGGACUGCAGGCUGCAACUCGCCUGCACGAAGUCGGAAUUGCUAGUAAUCGCGAAUCAGAAUGUCGCGGUGAAUACGUUCCCGGGUCUUGUACACACCGCCCGUCA